This 86-nucleotide transfer RNA is filed under the name Chondrilla aff. nucula CHOND. RNAcentral describes it as "tRNA-Ser". It matches the Rfam family "tRNA". From Rfam's summary of the family: Transfer RNA (tRNA) molecules are approximately 80 nucleotides in length. The record is from RNAcentral. Lineage: Eukaryota; Metazoa; Porifera; Demospongiae; Chondrillida; Chondrillidae.
GGAGAGAUGGCAGAGUGGUUUAAUGCAAUUGUCUUGAAAACAAGCGCCACUUUUGUGGUUCAUGAGUUCGAAUCUCAUUCUUUCCG